UUUAAUUAUCUAUAUGAUGCUAUUUUAUAAUAUGUGAUAAACCCAUAGUCUUAAGAAAUGCUUUUAGAAUAAUGAUGAUGAUCAUUCUAAUGAGAUCUAAAUUCUUAAAAAGCUUAAAACUAAAAUAGUUCUCAAUCGUUGGAUUAUUAAAUUAGGGAUUAGUAAAUCCGGAUAGAUUGGUACAUACGUUGCUUGCUCAUUGGAUGAGGAUGAUUG
RNAcentral lists this long non-coding RNA (216 nucleotides) under Panax ginseng (ginseng). Its description in RNAcentral is "long non-coding RNA (PGIN_LNC001802)". The record is from RNAcentral. Lineage: Eukaryota; Viridiplantae; Streptophyta; Magnoliopsida; Apiales; Araliaceae.